UGAUGAAAAUUCUCCGGAAUCUCUGUACAUCCUUGAUGAUUUUCCUUGAACCCUUUUCCAUCUGAUGACUGCAAAAAUUAAC
Small nucleolar RNA from Misgurnus anguillicaudatus (oriental weatherfish), 82 nucleotides. RefSeq annotates it as small nucleolar RNA MBII-202. The record is from RefSeq and is a predicted model, not a curated record. NCBI's taxonomy places the organism in Eukaryota, Metazoa, Chordata, Actinopteri, Cypriniformes, Cobitidae.